ACGAUCAGUAGCCGACCUGAGAGGGUGAUCGGCCACAUUGGAACUGAGACACGGUCCAAACUCCUACGGGAGGCAGCAGUGGGGAAUAUUGCACAAUGGGCGAAAGCCUGAUGCAGCAACGCCGCGUGAGGGAUGAAGGCCUUCGGGUCGUAAAACUCUGUCCUCAAGGAAGAUAAUGACGGUACUUGAGGAGGAAGCCCCGGCUAACUACGUGCCAGCAGCCGCGGUAAUACGUAGGGUGCUAGCGUUGUCCGGAUU
RNAcentral lists this ribosomal RNA (258 nucleotides) under Clostridioides difficile. Its description in RNAcentral is "partial 16S ribosomal RNA". It matches the Rfam family "Bacterial small subunit ribosomal RNA", at positions 276 to 551 of the family's 1533-position model. Lineage: Bacteria; Bacillati; Bacillota; Clostridia; Peptostreptococcales; Peptostreptococcaceae. The record is from RNAcentral.